UCUUGUCCUUUACCAAGAAGAGCUACAGCUGAUCUCUUGGUUUCCAGGUGGAAUGGUGGAUUUUACAAGUUCCCUUUUCUAAACCUGUGAGCUGGUCUGUGAUUGAAAGUGAAAAAAUGAGAAAGGAGCAAGGGCAGCUGUGCCCUGUGAAAAGCUGACCUAGAGAUAACUUCUGGUGCUGGGAUCCCACACUGGCUCAAAGCAUGUGGCUAUUGCUUUGCAAUGAGGCAGGCGCUUGCCAACACGAGGUCCAGUUCCUUAUCUGAGGGGCUCCUGGAGGUCACUGGCAAGGUGUUACUGGUGUGGUUGUGGCAUGGCAGCACUGCUAAGUAUCACAGAUAGCUCUCUGCUGUCAAAACUAUGACUCCUUGUCAAAAUUUAAUAUCCUCCGACUUGUCAAGAUCCGUGUAUGCAUGCACUGGCACAGAGAUUUGAAUAAAAUAACUAGCUUAACUGACUGCAUUAGGGGAUGAUCCAAAGCCAGAUUCAGGCAGUGCAAUGCCCUCUCCUGUGUGUAUGCAAAUUGUCUCUGCUGGCACUUUCAGGUGGUCUUUGGCUCAAGCUUUUAUGACCAGCAGCAAAAGGAAGGGCAUCUUUAAAUCUCUGUAUCUCAGCUCAUGCCAUUCACAUCAGAAUGCCUCACGUGCGAGGCCCAGGGGCUCCUCAGUGGUUAACCUUCUGUUUCUAUUACACAUGAGAGGCUGUUCUGCUCGAAUACCUCACCUGAGCCCCCCUCUAAAGAUCAGUCCC
Molecule: long non-coding RNA, 750 nt
Organism: Numida meleagris (helmeted guineafowl)
Lineage: Eukaryota; Metazoa; Chordata; Aves; Galliformes; Numididae
Exons: 3
Source: RefSeq, a predicted model, not a curated record